GGAUAACCCGGAGAAAUCCGGCCUAAUACCGCAUGUGGCCGAGGGGAGGCAUCUUCUUUCGGCCAAAGGAGGCGACUCCGGAGACGGAUGGGCAUGCGUGACAUUAGCUUGUUGGCGGGGUAACGGCCCACCAAGGCGACGAUGUCUAGGGGUUCUGAGAGGAAGGUCCCCCACACUGGUACUGAGACACGGACCAGACUCCUACGGGAGGCAGCAGUGAGGAAUAUUGGUCAAUGGGCGAGAGCCUGAACCAGCCAAGUCGCGUGAAGGAUGACGGCCCUACGGGUUGUAAACUUCUUUUGUCAGGGAGCAAUUGAGUCCACGUGUGGGCUUAGCGAGAGUACCUGAAGAAAAAGCAUCGGCUAACUCCGUGCCAGCAGCCGCGGUAAUACGGAGGAUGCGAGCGUUAUCCGGAUUUAUUGGGUUUAAAGGGUGCGUAGGCGGAAUAUCAAGUCAGCGGUAAAAAUUCGGGGCUCAACCCCGUCGUGCCGUUGAAACUGAUGUUCUUGAGUGGGCGAGAAGUAUGCGGAAUGCGUGGUGUAGCGGUGAAAUGCAUAGAUAUCACGCAGAACUCCGAUUGCGAAGGCAGCAUACCGGCGCCCAACUGACGCUGAAGCACGAAAGCGUGGGUAUCGAACAGGAUUAGAUACCCUGGUAGUCCACGCAGUAAACGAUGAAUACUAAUUGUCCGGA
This 693-nucleotide ribosomal RNA is filed under the name uncultured bacterium. Its description in RNAcentral is "bacterial SSU rRNA". It matches the Rfam family "Bacterial small subunit ribosomal RNA", at positions 141 to 828 of the family's 1533-position model. The record is from RNAcentral.